RNAcentral lists this long non-coding RNA (231 nucleotides) under Fukomys damarensis (Damara mole-rat). Its description in RNAcentral is "lncRNA (ENSFDAG00000033377.1)". Lineage: Eukaryota; Metazoa; Chordata; Mammalia; Rodentia; Bathyergidae. The record is from RNAcentral.
CAACUCAUCCUCAGACAUGCCUUCCACAUGCAAGACAGUCAUCCUGCAGGAACUCGGCAGCAGCCCAGGUCGGGAGAGUUCGAUUUCUGUGGUCAUCUGCCCUCCUCAGCUGUGAGUUCACCCUUCCGAUGCGAAGGCAGUGGCUGGGGCAGGGAGCAUGUGCACGGGUCACAGGGGGACGGAGCCCAAGCUCAGAGCUCUGCUGGAUCCCAGCCCAUCUUCACACAGUAG